AAAAUCUCACUUUAAAAUGGCACCUGCCACCUUCCUAGCUGAGGAACAGACCCUGCCUAGCCAGCAUGGCUACAGCUUAAGAGCUACUCUCCUGGCAGCGCCUACCACUGCAGCAGCCCACAAUAGCCAGCCAGCCCAAAGGCUGACCCCACCAGCAAUGACAGCCCAGCAACAAGCAGAAAACAGCUCACCUACUGAGGAAGAAAUCCCAAAGGCCUUAAAAACUCUAAACACGGCUUUUGGAACAAAUUUCUUACACCCAGAGAGGCCAUGGUCUACUUGCAGCCAAGAUGGGACCCGUUCUACCUGCGGUCAUCUAGAUGAGCCCCAGGCUACCACGACCUGCAAGGAAGGCUCCCAGCACACCGCUCCCUAUGCUGCCAACCCCCUGGCCUACCCAGGCACCACCCCUGAGGCUUGCUUACCUGGCCCGAGGUUUUCUGGAGAAGCCCCAGCGAAGAGCCCCUUCUCCAGCAUUGUUCCUCUUCAAAUGAGCUCUGCACAUGUGCAGAAGGUUUUUGCUCCCCCUCCCAUCUGGGAGGAGCAAUUGCUCACGUCUAGGCCAAUAGGGAACAGGCCUGCUGUUACCAUACCCCUCCCUUAUUGUGCUGACAGAGGAUACCAGCACAAUGGAUACAAAAGUAUCUCUUUUACAGAGGGAAAUGCUAACUUGUUGCCUUUAAGUUUUAAUAAGCUGUCCGUUUCUGGGACAAACUUGCAUGAAUGGGCCAGGGACAUCCAGGUGCUACUAAUGAGGGAAAAUGGGCUUGAUUUACUAAUAAAUCCUCCUCACAAGCCCUGGUCUAUGGAAGUAGACAUGCUUCACCAUAAGUUUUUUUGUCUGAUUCUCCUUUCAAUUGAUCUAGCACUUUACACUAGCAUCUCCCAUGGACUCACUGUAUGUGAGCUUUGGGAAAUUUUAUUUAACAUGUUUAAUUCUAAGAAUUGUAAUGCCACAGCCAGAAUUUCCUGAGAAUUCCAUUCAUCCAAAUUAAGGGCUGGAAUGGAUAUCAAUGAGCACCUCUGUAAUUUAAAGAGGAUGAGGG
This 1046-nucleotide long non-coding RNA is filed under the name Naja naja (Indian cobra). RNAcentral describes it as "lncRNA (ENSNNAG00000009164.1)". Lineage: Eukaryota; Metazoa; Chordata; Lepidosauria; Squamata; Elapidae. The record is from RNAcentral.